UGCAGAGCGCGAAUAACGCUGAGUAACCAUCGCCGCGGGAAGCGCUGAAUGGAAACGGAAAUUUUUCAGGGAGGCAGGAGGCAAGUUCCUGCACUGGCACUGACGCAGCGGGCACGCCAAACUCAAGGUCCAUGCAGACUGAUACCACACACCCCUUUCCUAAUGACUGCAGUUGAUGUCUCCAAAAAUCUUGAUGGGUAAAAAAUCACCAUUUCCAUUCUGUUCACUUCUGGGCAGACAAGGGGGUGUUGGGGGUACUAACUCAAAGUCUCUCUCCUGAUUUACAAAGCUUUCUGUGAAAAUUGUCCUCAUUGCCCAAGGAAACAUUGAGAUGGUGAUGCCCACAUUCCCUUUGGGAAGUAACAAACACAUGCUUCUCUAUUUUCAUAUUUUAAUAAAGACACCGGCUCUUUUUUCUGAUUCUCUUAAAUCUUGAACAGAUGGCCAGAAGCAAAGUUCUAGUUCUGAACUCAGGAAGAAGUUGCUGUCAUAGGCCUUUGGUCAUUCCAGGACACGUGAAAGGAAACAGGAUCAUGGCAGUGGGGCUGAAGAUUCCAAAACUGCGCAAAACAACACUGAAAGGUCUUUUUGGGGAAUUAAGUCACAAAGGGAAGACUCGGGUCACUGCUAACUCCCUCCAAAUAGCUUCCCAAACACUUGUGACGUGUUGCACGCUUUGCUUCAUUACUAAAUACUACCAUGCUCAGGGUGGCUGCUGCAGAAGGAAGCAACUGCCAUGAAACUGGAUCCUGUGUAGAACUGUCAUCCACUCCCUCUGGGAAGGAAGGGGAUGGAGAGUACCCUGAAGGAGCACCCCAUGCUAGGCAGAGACACUUGCAACACCUGCUUUGAAAAUUGCUUCCAACAUGAACUUUGCAACAUGCCUUUUUGUUUAUUUCCAGACAGUUUUUAAUUUUUCCAUAAAGCUGGGCACACGCAUUUCCACAUGACAAACAGUACGGGACAAACACAUUCUAAUUUUACACCACAUAAUGCAAGAUUCAGCCCUUAUUAGGCCCAACCUGUAGCAGAUGCCUGGCUUGGACUCUGCUUUUCUCCAUGAGAUGCUCUGCAUCUGUGGCCUGCAGGUUGUCAAGGAGGGAAGCAAAUCACAUUGCCGUAAAAUGGGUCAGGAGACCUGCAAGCUUGGCAAAUCUGGGACAGGCUAAUGCUGCAGAGUCACAUGUUUAGAAAUCAAAGCUCAGGCAAGAAAGGUAUUAAGAGAUAAGCAGUCGUGUACUUUUUUUUUAAAUAACGUGAGGGUUGGGAAAUUAUCAAAGGAGAUAGACCACUUAGAAGAAGAAGAAAGUGUCUGUUUAAGCAUGCAGCUGGCAGGCUCAGCCACAAUCCACCUGGGAUCUGCUCUCUGAAAUCCUUGCAGCAGGAGCCUUGGUGAAGGGACUGUGGGCCACCCACCAUCUUCAGGGAAUCCCAAGCAGGUGACCCCACUGUCACUGCUAUUUACAGUCUCAAUUCCACAUUCACUUGACUGGUCCACCUGUGUCAGAUAAUGCUGCGUGAACAAGCCCUUUCCUUUUUCUCCAUCCUCUGCACAUAACCACUCGGGGCGGGGGGAAAUUAUAUUAAAAUUUAAAUAAGGUAACAAAAGAGCAUAUGUAGAUAUCUAAGAGAUAGGCUACGCACAGCCACCCUGUCCACCUCCGCAGUGCUAAGAAUACUUAGAAGUCACGCGCAAGUUGAGAUCCAGAUAAAUUAUCUACCUACUCCAUCCUGAGCAUCCAUCCCACAAAAUGGGAAAAUGGGGAAAUAGAAAAAAAGCAGAACUGUGGUUUGAGAGAUCCAAAUGCAUUUCUGGCUCUGCUACAGACCCCUCUCUGUUUUGAAAAUGGGUAAACCCUAUAAUCCACGUCUCUCCUCACUCACCUGUGGAACUACUUGUUGUAAGGAGACAUUCAUUCCAUGGUUGUAAUAAACAUCAAUGAUAUUGUUUUGGACUGUAUAAGUGUCAAUGUAAGAGAGAAAUGAUCUUUGAUGAUCAUGUUUUGCAUGUAAAAGCUCUCCCAAGCCAUUAUUAUUUUGGUAAAAAUUGGUUUAUUUUUCCAUAUUAAUAGUAAAAAACAGCAAAAAUAAUAAUAAAAGCCUAAACAUUGGUUUUCA
This is a long non-coding RNA of Tyto alba (common barn owl), 2118 nucleotides long. RefSeq lists it as uncharacterized. The record is from RefSeq and is a predicted model, not a curated record. NCBI's taxonomy places the organism in Eukaryota, Metazoa, Chordata, Aves, Strigiformes, Tytonidae. The transcript is spliced from 2 exons.